GUGCUUACUUCAGCAGCAUGUAAUCUAAAUUUGGAGCAAUACAGAGAUUAGCACGGCCUUUGCACAAGGAUGACAUGCAACUUUGUGCACCAUUCCAUAUUUUU
Ochotona curzoniae (black-lipped pika) is the source of this 104-nucleotide small nuclear RNA. The record is from RefSeq and is a predicted model, not a curated record. Lineage: Eukaryota; Metazoa; Chordata; Mammalia; Lagomorpha; Ochotonidae.